RNAcentral lists this ribosomal RNA (656 nucleotides) under uncultured bacterium. Its description in RNAcentral is "bacterial SSU rRNA". It matches the Rfam family "Bacterial small subunit ribosomal RNA", at positions 9 to 652 of the family's 1533-position model. The record is from RNAcentral.
GAGUUUGAUCCUGGCUCAGAACGAACGCUGGCGGCGUGCUUAACACAUGCAAGUCAGGGAGAAAGUCUCUUCGGGGAUGAUUAAACCGGCGCACGGGUGAGUAACACGUGAGUGACCUGCCUUUUAGACUGGAACAACUUACCGAAAGGUGAGCUAAUGCCGGAUGAGUUAUAUAAGUGCAUGUUUAUAUAGGAAAAGUUGGGGAGACCUGACGCUGAAAGAUGGACUCGCGUCCCAUUAGCUAGUUGGUAGGGUAAUGGCCUACCAAGGCGACGAUGGGUAGCCGGCCUGAGAGGGUGGCCGGCCACACUGGGACUGAGACACGGCCCAGACUCCUACGGGAGGCAGCAGUGGGGAAUUUUGCGCAAUGCUCGUAAGAGUGACGCAGCGACGCCGCGUGAAUGACGAAGGCCUUCGGGUCGUAAAGUUCUUUCGACAGGGAAGAAAAUGCCUAUAAGUAACUGUGUAUGUAUUGACGGUACCUGUAUAAGCAGCCCCGGCUAACUCCGUGCCAGCAGCCGCGGUAAUACGGAGGGGGCGAGCGUUGUUCGGAGUGACUGGGCGUAAAGAGCACGUAGGCGGUGUUGUAAGUCAUUAGUCAAAGACUAGAGCUCAACUUUAGUAAGGCUAGUGAUACUAUAAUACUAGAGUAUCAG